Long non-coding RNA from Gallus gallus (chicken), 4372 nucleotides. The record is from Ensembl. Lineage: Eukaryota; Metazoa; Chordata; Aves; Galliformes; Phasianidae.
UCCUCUCAGAGUAAAAGCUAAAAGCCACUUGUAGGUCACUUGACCUUCCUCUUUUCUUGUUUCUGUCAUCUGGCUCAUCUCUGUUGCAGGUGCCGUCUCAUCACAGCAUUAGAGUAAGGCCUUCAGCUUUGGACACUCUCAUUUUAUUUGAUUUAUUAGUUUCAUUUCUAAUUAUACUGUAGUAUAUUGUGUUAUAGUGUGUUAUCUUGCAUUGCAAUAUCUUAUUUAGUAAAUUUGUUUCUCCUCAUAUCAUAGCCACUGUUUUGUUUUUAGGCCCAUUUCUCUACCCUUUUCUCAUUUUCCCUUUUCCCUUUCCUGGGGAGUGGGUCCAUGGGUCCCGCUGCCCUGCUAAUCAUGGAACCAGGCCGAACCAGCCCAUAAACCACUGACAUAAAUAAACGCAACUUUUUAAUUGAAUUCUUGGCACAGGUCAAUGCUCUCAUGAAGAAACAGAUCUUUCUAAGUGGAAGGCUGGUUACUGCUUAGAUGGGUAUGGAAAAGUUUCCAUUGUCCAUUUACAAGCAUCAAAUCUAUGAAAAAAAUAUGAUCAACUUUGCAGCGAGAAUCAGAUGGAUUACUGUCUGGAAAGAAUGGACAAAUUCUCCUUCCAUGAGUAAUCAAUCAUUGGCCUAUGCAUAGCAGAAGAUGCCUGGAGGAGAACUCUGGGCCAUACAGAACUCUGACCUCAGAGCUCCAGUACUGAUAAAGGCUUAAAUCUUCUGCAGUGUGUGAAAUGGUCUUCAGGCCAGAGCAGCUAGUCUAAGUUUGUUUCUGUACCUAUAAGGAGUAAUUUGGAGGGACUCACAAAAACAAAACAAACAUAGACAAGCAAAAAACAGAGACAGCAGCCAAAUACUGCAUCAUUCAUAUUUGGCAGCUAUGAUAUUGGUUUAUGUUUGUCUGUUGUGUCAAUAUUUAAUACAAGUCUUCUGCUGUGAGUCUGUCUUACGCUUUUAACAAUAGUGCCUGUUAUAUGCAUCCCCCUGAGGAACUGAGAUGUCUUAAACAGUGUGGAAACAAGACUAAAAAAGAAAAGAUCCUAGGUCUCCCAUUUGCUUUCUAAGAAAUCGUUUGAUGCCUCUGAGAAAGAUUCAAGAAAGCUUCAGAACAUAAAUAAUUUCCUGCACUACAGAAGACAAUGUGAUGUUAAGCAAUUGGCUGUAGGAAACUUGAAGUAUGGGAAUAUUUAUUGAAGCUCCUGGAUUUAAGGUGUUUUCAUUCUCACUGAAUCUAGUGCUUGCGGUUCCUCCCUGAAGACUGAUAUAGGAAAAUCACUCUUGUAAAGAAGUUCUUGACUGACAGUGCACAAUAAUUUAGUCCAAUGAUUAUAAGUUAUGGCCCAGAAAGUGCUGAAGAAGUGUAAUUGCUCCUACAUACCAAGAAGGAAUGACUGAAAAAAGUAAGAUUAUUGUCAGUAGCGAAAAUUUAUAGUGCAGGAGUCUGCACUUCCAUGAGAAUGGUUUAAGUAUCAGUAAAUUGUAAAAGAUGGAAAAAUAUUUGCUUGUCACUGGUGAUAUUUACUCAAGAAAUUGAAGAGAGAAAUCGGAUUCUGUGCUUAUCUCAGGAGCUUUUAACUAUUUAUGGAAUAAGCAGGAAAAUUCUUGACUUUCUGUUCAAAAUGAGCCAUUCUGUAGCCAGGAAUGAGAAAGUCAAGAAACCAGAAGGAGAACUAACAGAAAUUGUAUGACUCUAAAAUACAGAUUGAAAAUAUCACAGAACUAUUGGGAGAUUUUACAGCAGUAAGUCACUAAAUAGUGGAUAGGGAAAAUUUAUUUUGCAUUAGGGCAUCUUGACAAUAUAAUGCAUGUUACACUGGUCAAAAAUUUCUAAAAUGUUUCAAGCCAUAUAAAAAGAAAUCAAAAUGUUAUAAGGUACAUACUACAGAUUCCUGGAUGAAUAAAUACACUGUAGAAUGGUAAUAUCUUACAAAUCUUCCAGAAUUGGAAAAUUUGAAAAAAUAAAGGAAGAUAAAUAAAUAGCAAAUUGUAUUUCUGGGCUUGUGGAGUGAUUCUCUACAGUUUCUAGAAUUUUUUUUUAUUUUUAUUUUUUUUUUAUUUUUAUUUUUAUUUAUUUAUUUUUUUUUUGACCACAGAGAAAACCCUGUAUCCUGUAUUCAUGAUUUGGAUAGGCAAAAGUUUUGACUGUGUGCUUCUUGACUUGCUACAAUACACUGGAACAUACUAUCUUCUAUUAAAGCACUGUUUUUCACAUAAAGUAUUUUUUGAACAUAACGUUCACAACUAUAAGUAUGCUUUUUAAGAUAAAAUUAUUUUUUCCUGACAGGUAACAUUUUAUUCAGUUCAGCAUUUUACUCAUGUUCAGUGAAAUACAGUAACUUCAGCUGGGUCAAGACUUCAUGUAACCACAUCAGCAUGACAAAUUAAAUUACAGGACUGAAAUCUAACUUGGAAAAAUGUUUUCUCUUGUUAGAAUGUUCUUUGUCCAGAACAAGUCUAAAUCUGUAAUGAACUGUCCAAAUUACGGGCUGAUACUUCAGUUAUUUGUUGAAUUCUACUUGCGUCGAAAAAUUACUGCUCAAAUACUAAAUGUAAGUAGUGAGAUUGUUUACUUCUGCAUAGUUUUGCUUAUCAAGCUGCCUAUUUCACUUUUCUUUAUUAUUUUCUUAUCAGAUCAGAAUUACAAGCAAAUUAUGCUUUUCAAACCCAGUGUUUUCUUCCUAUGUUUUUUAUAGAAAUUAAAAAAAAAAAGAUACUGUCAUCUUCGAUCAGACCUAGGUAGAAUAAUGCCUGUCUAAAGAAAAAGUCUUUAUUGAAUAAUCAAUCAAAAAAUUAAUAAAAAGUGACAUUUUGUUUAUGAGCAACAACAUUCCACUGAGUAAGCAAAUGACACCUCUCAUAAUCUCUCUGAAAAAGAAAUACACAUGAAUUAAGAGGAGCAAAUCUCAUGACCCUUCACUGCAUUUUCCUAUUUUGCUGGUACAUCUCCUCAGCCUAAAGCUCUCUCUUCUCCUCAGCCUAAAGCUCUCUCUUUUAUGUAAAAGCUUUAAACACUUGACUAUCGGAAUUUUAAUUUUAUUUAACUGACACUUACUGAAACAGUUUUUUCACUCUAAGAACAUUACAUGAAAAGUUGUUCAAGAAGGAGCUGUUCUCUGUUAAUAAACUCAGUUGCUAAAAUAUUGUUUGUUCCUGCCAUCAAAGAGAAAAUACAAUUGAAAGGAACCAAGACCUUAUGUGUAGAAGAAAAUGCAAUAGGAGGUACUGUGUUAGAACACAAGCUCACAAGUACAGAAUCAGAUUAGACAUUGUUAUAGCAAGGUCCCCUAUUGCCAUGAACACUGACAACCUAUGCAAUCUGUCUCGUGCUGCUUUACCAGCAGGGACUCAGUUCUGAUUCAGAAGGCCCAACUUCAUCACAGAGGGAAUUAAGCUGUUUCUCUUCAGUCCCUGGUCUGUCCCUUGAGCUUGGUAAGGAAGAUGUCACUAAGUACAUAGAGUGGUAGGACUGUGGACACUUGCUAUGAGAUGGAUUGAUACCUGUAGCACAUAUUCAUUUUGAGUGCACCUUGGCUGAACCAGUGACCUAGGACUGAAGUGCUUAGGUGACGAAAUAUUGUAUCAGAAGGUGUUACGGUUCAAAAUUACUACCAGUCAAAAUUAAGACAAAAUGAUGAGUGAGAAAAAAAGAGAGAGAGAGAGAGAGAGAGGAAAUAUAAAACAAAGUAUAUAUGAAAGGUCACCUACACAGUUGAUGCUGGUGCAAAUACAGAUGUAAAGAUGUAAAAGAAAUUGUCCCCCAAAGCUGUAGCAUGAACAUUUAAGAAAAUAGAAAUCUUACAUAUUGAACAAAUGCUCAUGUUCACAUCCACAUAUUCUGCCUGGCAGAUUUCUCGUGAUAGUGCAAGUAGCAAGUGAAGUCAUUACCAGUGGGAAUUAAUUUACAGUGUAUUGUGAAUGAGCAGAAAUUUAUCAAGCAAUCAUAAAUUAUAAAUUAUAUAAAUUAUAACCUUACAACUUAUAGUAUAAAAUAAAGCAUUAAUUGAAGACAAAUAAAAAUUAUAUACAUAUAUUACAUACCACUAUAACCUAUUUUUCUUAUUUACUACUUAUUUUCAAAUCCUGGAGAUUUUAGACAUGUCUACUCAAGCAAAAACAGGCAAAUCUCAUUUAGUCUUUGUUGUAUGUGAAUCCGAUUGUGUUCUUUGUGUGAGCUAAUAAACUGCAAAGUGGAAAGCUAUCCAAGUUCCAGUGUAAUGCCUCCCUAAUACGAUGGUGAGUUUAUAGCAUAAAAUUGUCUCACUUCAGAAGAAUCCACAUGUAUGCAGCCUAACGGACAGAUCUGAAUACUAUUGGUCCAAAAUUGGGAUAUCAUCUGCAGCAUUGCUAUUACGUUCUGUAUUUUCUGUUAUCCA